Molecule: ribosomal RNA, 376 nt
Filed under: uncultured Gammaproteobacteria bacterium
Lineage: Bacteria; Pseudomonadati; Pseudomonadota; Gammaproteobacteria
Description: bacterial SSU rRNA
Rfam family: Bacterial small subunit ribosomal RNA
Source: RNAcentral
UAAUACGGGAGGUGCGAGCGUUAAUCGGAAUUACUGGGCGUAAAGCGAGCGUAGGCUGUUAAUUAAGUCGAAUGUGAAAUCCCCGGGCUCAACCUGGGAACUGCAUUCGAAACUAUUUAACUAGAGUAUGGGAGAGGAAAGUAGAAUUUCCGGUGUAGCGGUGAAAUGCGUAGAUAUCGGAAGGAAUACCAGUGGCGAAGGCGGCUUUCUGGAACAAUACUGACGCUGAGGUUCGAAAGCGUGGGGAGCAAACAGGAUUAGAUACCCUGGUAGUCCACGCCGUAAACGAUGAGAACUAGAUGUUGGGAGGAUUGGCCUCUCAGUGUCGCAGCUAACGCAAUAAGCUCUCCGCCUGGGGAGUACGACCGCAAGGUUG